CAAACAACACACAAACGGGAAACCGAAUGCCAAUCGCUGGACUUACAUCAGACUCCAAACAAACAACAAACAAACGGGAAACCGAAUGCCAAUCGCUGGACUUACAUCAGACUCCGUACAAAGAAACGCAGACAGGAAACCGAAUGCCAAUCGCUGGACUUACAUCAGACUCCAAACACACACACAAGAGGGUUAAAAAGAAAAAGGGCGCCUGUCGCAGCCUGAAAAAUACAGUGGUGCGAAAAAACAACCGGCGAGAAAGAAAAUGAC
This 270-nucleotide long non-coding RNA is filed under the name Lathyrus oleraceus (garden pea). Its description in RNAcentral is "Pisum sativum (pea) long non-coding RNA (PSAT_LNC019664)". Lineage: Eukaryota; Viridiplantae; Streptophyta; Magnoliopsida; Fabales; Fabaceae. The record is from RNAcentral.